Molecule: long non-coding RNA, 465 nt
Filed under: Mytilus galloprovincialis (Mediterranean mussel)
Lineage: Eukaryota; Metazoa; Mollusca; Bivalvia; Mytilida; Mytilidae
Source: RNAcentral
GCUGCAUGCGAGAAGCUUCAUUUUAAAAAAAACGGCGAUUUUUAGGUUGUCCCGCGUAACAUAUUUCAUUUAUUGUAACCACUAAACUCUGAUUUUUGUCGAAACUAUUUAAUAUUUUGAAAAAACGUUUUUUUCCAUUAUUAAACAGAAUGGUUCAUUCAGUCUUUGAUGCAUUUUUUAUGACGUUAUGAUGAUGUCAUAGAAAAAAAACGCGUUCCAUCCUACAAGGGCAAAUCUGUCCCACGGUCAAAAAAAAUGGGAUUCCAGAUUUGAGAAUCAAAAAACAUUUAUCUAACAUGAAAAAAGUUUAGUAUUUGUAUUUACUACAUCAAUGUUAAUUUGCUUAAUUUUAUGAAUUUAAAGACAAAUAUCCUGAAAAAUGAUAUAUGGUAAUUUAUGAGCGAUUUUUCAAAGGCUUACAAGGUUGUCGCACCGCCAUUUUUUGACGUAAAAACGAACUCAACU